RNAcentral lists this ribosomal RNA (519 nucleotides) under uncultured bacterium. Its description in RNAcentral is "partial 16S ribosomal RNA". It matches the Rfam family "Bacterial small subunit ribosomal RNA", at positions 28 to 507 of the family's 1533-position model. The record is from RNAcentral.
GACGAACGCUGGCGGCGUGCCUAAUACAUGCAAGUCGAGCGAGUCUGCCUUGAAGAUCGGAGUGCUUGCACUCUGUGAAACAAGAUACAGGCUAGCGGCGGACGGGUGAGUAACACGUGGGUAACCUGCCCAAGAGAUCGGGAUAACACCUGGAAACAGAUGCUAAUACCGGAUAACAACAGAUGAUGCCUAUCAACUGUUUAAAAGAUGGUUCUGCUAUCACUCUUGGAUGGACCUGCGGUGCAUUAGCUAGUUGGUAGGGUAACGGCCUACCAAGGCGAUGAUGCAUAGCCGAGUUGAGAGACUGAUCGGCCACAUUGGAACUGAGACACGGCCCAAACUCCUACGGGAGGCAGCAGUAGGGAAUCUUCCACAAUGGACGCAAGUCUGAUGGAGCAACGCCGCGUGAGUGAAGAAGGGUUUCGGCUCGUAAAGCUCUGUUGUUGGUGAAGAAGGACAGGGGUAGUAACUGACCUUUGUUUGACGGUAAUCAAUUAGAAAGUCACGGCUAACUACGUG